AGAGUUUGAUCAUGGCUCAGGAUGAACCGCUAGCUACAGGCUUAACACGAUGCAACCCCGUGAGGGCAGCAUGGUCUUAGCUUGCUAAGGCCGAUGGCGACCGGCGCACGGGUGAGUAACACGUAUCCCAACCUGCCGUCUACUCUUGGACAGCCUUCUGAAAGGAAGAUUAAUACAAGAUGGCAUCAUGAGUCCGCAUGUUCACAUGAUUAAAGGUAUUCCGGUAGACGAUGGGGAUGCGUUCCAUUAGAUAGUAGGCGGGGUAACGGCCCACCUAGUCUUCGAUGGAUAGGGGUUCUGAGAGGAAGGUCCCCCACAUUGGAACUGAAGACACGGUCCAAACUCCUACGGGAGGCAGCA
Molecule: ribosomal RNA, 360 nt
Filed under: uncultured bacterium
Lineage: Bacteria
Description: bacterial SSU rRNA
Rfam family: Bacterial small subunit ribosomal RNA
Source: RNAcentral